GACGAACGCUGGCGGCGUGCCUAAUACAUGCAAGUAGAACGCUGAAGGAGGAGCUUGCUUCUCUGGAUGAGUUGCGAACGGGUGAGUAACGCGUAGGUAACCUGCCUGGUAGCGGGGGAUAACUAUUGGAAACGAUAGCUAAUACCGCAUAAGAGUAGAUGUUGCAUGACAUUUGCUUAAAAGGUGCAAUUGCAUCACUACCAGAUGGACCUGCGUUGUAUUAGGUAGUUGGUGGGGUAACGGCUCAACAAGGCGACGAUACAUAGCCGACCUGGGAGGGGUGACGGCCACAAUGGGAACGAGACACGGGCCAGACUGCCAAGGGAAGGAGCAGUAGGGAAUCUUCGGCAAUGGGCGGAAGUCUGAACGGGCAACGCCGCGUGAGUGGAGAAGGUUUUCGGAUCGUAAAGCUCUGUUGUAAGGGAAGAAAGAGUGUGGGAGUGGAAAGUUCACACUGUGACGGUAUCUAACCAGAAAGGGACGGCUAACUACGUG
RNAcentral lists this ribosomal RNA (495 nucleotides) under uncultured bacterium. RNAcentral describes it as "partial 16S ribosomal RNA". It matches the Rfam family "Bacterial small subunit ribosomal RNA", at positions 28 to 507 of the family's 1533-position model. The record is from RNAcentral.